AGUAACACGUAAGGAACCUACCGAUAAGCGGGGGACAACAUCCGGAAACGGGUGCUAAUACCGCAUAGGAAGUUUGUUCGCAUGAACAAACUUAGAAAGAUGGCUCUGCUAUCACUUAUCGAUGGCCUUGCGGUGCAUUAACUAGUUGGCGAGGUAACGGCUCACCAAGGUGAUGAUGCAUAGCCGACCUGAGAGGGUAAUCGGCCACAUUGGGACUGAGACACGGCCCAGACUCCUACGGGAGGCAGCAGCC
Molecule: ribosomal RNA, 253 nt
Filed under: uncultured Aerococcus sp.
Lineage: Bacteria; Bacillati; Bacillota; Bacilli; Lactobacillales; Aerococcaceae
Description: partial 16S ribosomal RNA
Rfam family: Bacterial small subunit ribosomal RNA
Source: RNAcentral